GCUAUCAACAGACAAACAACAGCAGCAGUGAGAGCGUGCGAGACUACGACGAAGACGGUUCGCCGAGAGUUACGCACAGAGUAUGUGCUGGCGGCGUAUAACGGCGGACGGACAAAAACAAAGUGUGCGUGCGUGUGUGUGUGUUUCUCUUUAUUUUCUUUUGUAACAACAAAUAUUAGUUAAAUCAUAAUUACCUAUAUUGUACAAAUCGAAAACUGCAGAAAUAUGCAGCGUUUUGUCAGCAGCAGCGGCAGCAGCAGCACUAUUAGUAGCAGAGCAGCGGCAGAGCAGCCACCACGGUCGUUUAGCAGCCAGCACCAAGAAGACGAAGAGCAAGACGAAAAGUAAAACAACAAUAAAGCUGGCCAUAUUCAUACAAAAAAAAAAAAAAAAA
Long non-coding RNA from Drosophila navojoa, 394 nucleotides. Lineage: Eukaryota; Metazoa; Arthropoda; Insecta; Diptera; Drosophilidae. The record is from RefSeq and is a predicted model, not a curated record.